UGGCGGCGGUAGUUAUGGGCUU
RNAcentral lists this microRNA (22 nucleotides) under Homo sapiens (human). RNAcentral's name for it is "hsa-miR-4467". The record is from miRBase by way of RNAcentral. Lineage: Eukaryota; Metazoa; Chordata; Mammalia; Primates; Hominidae.